UGGGGAAUUUUGGACAAUGGGCGCAAGCCUGAUCCAGCCAUGCCGCGUGCGGGAAGAAGGCCUUCGGGUUGUAAACCGCUUUUGUCAGGGAAGAAAUCUUCUGAGUUAAUACCUCGGGAGGAUGACGGUACCUGAAGAAUAAGCACCGGCUAACUACGUGCCAGCAGCCGCGGUAAUACGUAGGGUGCAAGCGUUAAUCGGAAUUACUGGGCGUAAAGCGUGCGCAGGCGGUUUUGUAAGACAGAGGUGAAAUCCCCGGGCUCAACCUGGGAACUGCCUUUGUGACUGCAAGGCUUGAGUGCGGCAGAGGGGGAUGGAAUUCCGCGUGUAGCAGUGAAAUGCGUAGAUAUGCGGAGGAACACCGAUGGCGAAGGCAAUCCCCUGGGCCUGCACUGACGCUCAUGCACGAAAGCGUGGGGAGCAAACAGGAUUAGAUACCCUGGUAGUCCACGCCCUAAACGAUGUCAACUGGUUGUUGGGAAGGUUCCUUCUCAGUAACGUAGCUAACGCGUGAAGUUGACCGCCUGGGGAGUACGGCCGCAAGGUUGAAACUUAAAGGAAUUGACGGGGUCAUAGCUGUUUCC
This 584-nucleotide ribosomal RNA is filed under the name uncultured bacterium. Its description in RNAcentral is "partial 16S ribosomal RNA". It matches the Rfam family "Bacterial small subunit ribosomal RNA", at positions 355 to 937 of the family's 1533-position model. The record is from RNAcentral.